Molecule: non-coding RNA, 68 nt
Organism: Chelonia mydas (Green sea turtle)
Lineage: Eukaryota; Metazoa; Chordata; Testudines; Cheloniidae
Source: Rfam
ACCAAAAUGGCUGAGUGGUUAAGGUGUUGGACUCAAGUUCUAAGGGGCGUGAUGGUGGGUUUUUGGUU